CAUACUUCUUCUCCAUCUUCGUUAGUAUGGCCGAGCAAGGGCAAAGCGUCUCUUUCGACAGUGGCGGCGGCGGCAGCAACUCGUUAGGAGUACAAGAGCCCGAAAUUCUGGGCAUAGAUGCCAAGAACAAUGCAUAACUCUUCCCAUGGAACACUCAUUUGAGCAAGAUUAUGUGAGUGAGUGGUGUUUUAUAGUGACUCCGAGGCUACUCGAUCUCCGGACCUCAACCUCGGACCUUCACAAUGGUUAGGAAAGGGCCAUAAAACACGCACUUGUGCCAAACCCUAAAUGGGCUCCGCAUCGGAGACUAGCAUUAUUUUAGUUUGAAAAUUGUGUGAAUUGUACCCGGAGUUUAUGUGAUUGUUACUGUGUAUGACAGCUGUGUGAGUUGUAGUUUAUGUGAUUGUUACUGUGUAUGACAGCUGUGUGAGUUGUAGCUCAAAUUUAUGUAAUCCAGUUCAUGGAGAAGCGUACCUUAUUCUAUGUAAUAUCAAAACAUAAUUUACACGAAAUUCAACAGCAAUUCUGGAGCAAUGUUUGACGCAUUUAAAACUAUGGCAUUCCAAAGCGUGACACAAUUGGGCUCUGUGUUCACUUCUCAACGGACAAAACAUGGAAUACAGAAAAUAAGGGCACGGGGACUAUUGACAUAAUUCUACUCUAAUAGAAAUACGUAGAUUUCCAGAUCCGAUGAAUUGUAUAGAAAAACUGGAAAACAUAACAAAAAGUUAG
This is a long non-coding RNA of Diospyros lotus (date-plum), 732 nucleotides long. RefSeq lists it as uncharacterized. NCBI's taxonomy places the organism in Eukaryota, Viridiplantae, Streptophyta, Magnoliopsida, Ericales, Ebenaceae. The record is from RefSeq and is a predicted model, not a curated record. The transcript has 2 exons.